Drosophila melanogaster (fruit fly) is the source of this 4511-nucleotide non-coding RNA. Lineage: Eukaryota; Metazoa; Arthropoda; Insecta; Diptera; Drosophilidae. The record is from Ensembl.
AGUCAUUUCCAGGAUCAAAACCAUUUAGGUUAUCGAUACCAAAUAAAAACUAAUUUUUUUUUGUAACAAUUAAGCUUUUAUUGGAAGAUCUACAGAGUCUUAAUUUUAAACUUACGUUCCACCGUUUCGACAAAGUCUAUAAAAUCCUUGUAUAGAACCUUUGGAACCUCUAGAGCGGCAAAGUGCCCGCCCUUUUUGUGGUAAGUGCUGUGCACUAGGUUCGUGUACUUAUCCUUCAACUGGACAUCCAGGAACUGCAUAAUGUCGCUCUUGAAACGGGCACAUCCAGUUGGCACUCGGGUGGGAACCCGAUCCAGGUGCAGGUCCCGCUGUGCCUGGGCAUACUGCUCGGCAUAGAGACGCUGGGAGGUGGUAAUCGAAUUGGUCAGGUAGUAGAUCAUCAGGUUGUCCAGCAGGGCAUCCAUUUUGUAGCGCUUAGUGAGUCCUCCAUCUGGCAGAGAUCGGUAGCUGGGAUUUGUCCACGUGGAGAACUUCUCCAGAAUGUAGGCGGCCAGACCCACUGGGUUAUCGGUGAGGGCGGCUCCGAUGGUGUCCGGUUUGGUGGCCUGGAUGUGGAAGUAGCCACUCUCCUCCAUUAGGUAUCUCAUCUCGUUAGACUUGGGAAAGAAGAAAUCUUCAAAGCCAGAGGGCACAAACAAACUGGGCCAAAAUUCGGCCACUAAACCCUUAGCCAGCGACUUCGGACUCAAAUUGUUGCACAUGUUCGAGUGGUAGCCCAGCACGUUUUCCGGAUACAAGGUGGCAAUGUUGCUGCCAAUAAUGCUGCCCCAGUCUCCACCCUGGAUAAAGAAUUUGUUGUAUCCCAAACGCAGCAUAAGAUUCCUCAUCAUCACCGCCACUUGAGCGGGACCCAGUCCUUUUCUGGAGGUGCCCUGCAGGAUAAGAGACAGAUAAGCCUAUAAUACACUACGUAGAUUGGACAAAACCCACCUGUGACCAGCCAUAACCUGGUAAACUCGGAACCACGACGUUAAAGAUGUACUUGUUAUUAUUGUCCAGAUUGGUCUGAUGCAGCAAAUGUAUGAAAUCGUAAAACUCCCGCACCGAUCCCGGCCAUCCGUGGAGCAGCAACACCGGAUAGUGUUUCUUACCCACUUUGUUGUCAUCAUAAACCAUCAGGUGGAGGAAGUGUGUGCGUAGCCUAAAACCCCAUCGUUACUAUCUGUGCAUAUGAUAAGUGGGCACCUUAUCUUACCCCUGAAUAUCGGUGGUGAAGUGAUUGAACUGCCAAAGGAACACCUCGCGUUCGCGCCAACGCGGCAGGUAGUCAUCGCGCCAGUACUCCACGACCUCCUUAAGGUAAUUCGUAUUGAAUCCGUACUCAAAAGCCACGCCCUCGAGCGGAGGCGUAAGGCGCAGGGUGCGAUUGAGACGCUCUUUCAAAUCAGCAAUGGUCUGCACAUGGUAUGAGUUAGUAUAUAGUACAUAAUAAUGGAUAGACCCCCACUUACCUUAUCCGGAUAACUAAGCCUAUUGCCUAUCACCUCCGAAUUGUUCUUCAAAUAGGCCUCGUAAUCCUUGGGCUGCGCCUCAUCGCCCCACCACUCCUGGGGAUCCAACUUUGGUGCGGGCAAGUCCGCCCAUAGUUGGGUCACAUUCCUAUAGACCAGCCCACCGGCAAUGGCCAGUAUCAAGACCAGAAUUUUAACAGUGACACCCAUCUGUUCCUAUCAGCGGUUCCACUCAGACUGUCUCGGAUAGCAGCUACGAUUCCACUGAUUCUACCAUAUCAUCGUGGGCGCAGCUCUCGUUUUCGACGCUCAUGAUGAUAAGCGACUUUGAGUGACCACCCUACGCCGAUCAGUUGGGGCUUAUCGCGGGUUUACUUUGGACUCGACUCCACUGAGACGGAGUAGCGGCUUUCCACAUCGGGGAUGACUCGAAUGAAUCGGCUUGUUUGUUUAUUUACUCAACAAAGCUUACAUGCCGGUUUUUGGUUUGAAGCUUUUACGGGUAAAGACCGGAGGGGUAUGUAUGUAUGUAUGUACUAUAUGUAUAAAGAAUGAGACCCGCGAAUUGUUUUUGUAUAUUUUGCGACGCAGCUGGGCUACCAGGUUAGCUAAAAAAUACCCCUUAUUUUCGAACUACACUGGGGUAGACUGAACAUGUGUGAGAUCUUUGUUGCCAAGUAAAAUUUGAUGUUCAUUUGGUUUAAUAUCACUCUACUGUCAUUUAGUUAAGUAAUAAUUCAACAUAUUACAUGAUUUCUUAUAAAGGGUACACCAAUGUCGACUAUAGCCCAUGGGAAUAAGUUACGUAACAUCGUUCCGAGCUUAGAUAUAUCAUAUAUGUACAUAUACUUAUGAAAGCAAACACCACACACUGCCCUUUUGCUCGCCACUCGUGUAUUCCAAACAAAAAACUCUUCAACUUUCGGUUUUCAAAGCAGAUAAGGCAAAUACAAUCACCAAGUCGAUUUGAUUUAAUUUUUGCAACAAACAUAACCGUUUCUUUCAAGAAUCACGAUGAAAAUGUACAAUGGACUUCUAUAACUAAUGAUAAACAAUUUUGUUUUAUGAGAAAUUGGCUUUCUGGACAAAAGACACAAAGUCGUCGUACAGCUGCUGGGGCAGCUCAAAAGCGGGAAAGUGACCUCCAUCCCGGUGGUGGGUACUGUGCACCAGAUUGGGGAACUUGUUGGCCAAAACCGAGUCGGAGAAAUGUGUGAUCUCAUGGGCGAAACGGGUGCAGCCAGCCUUGGCCUUGAUGGGCACGGAGUCCACGGCCAGUGCAAACUGCGAGGCAACCAUUGAUUCGGAAUACAGACGCAUGGAGGUGGUAAUGGAGUUGGUCACAUAAUAGAUCAUCACAUUGUCCAGAAGCUGAUCGUAGGUAAAUCUCUUGGUCAGACCACCGUCAGGAAGCGAUCUAAAUGCCGUAUUCGUCCAUGUGGAGAACUUCUCCAGAAUAUAGCUAGCCAGACCAGUUGGAUUGUCGAUCAAAGCAUUGCCGAUGGUGUCUGGCUUGGAGGCCUGAAUGUGGGCAUAGCCCAUCUCCUCCAUUAUGGUGCUAAACAAGUGACCGAGUCCCUUGUAGAAGUCCGCAUACUCGCUGUCCACAAACCAGCUGGGGAAAAAGGAGGCCAGCACCAUCUUCAACUGACCCAUAGGGCUGUUAUUUCCGCACAUAUUAGAAUGAUAGCCCAGCACGUUUUCCGGAAAAAGUGAGGCUACAUUGGAUCCAAUUAUGGAACCCCAAUCGCCACCCUGCACCAGAAACUUAUCGAAUCCCACUCGGAGCAUCAGGUUGCGCAUCACCACCGCCACUUGCGCCACACCGAAUCCAGUUUUUGAAGAGCCCUGGAGUUGGAAAAAUAUAAAAUUAGUCAUUUUUCAAUUUGUAAUUUGGAGAAGGUUGUGUAAUAACUUGUCUACCUAAGUGCUAUAUAUUAAUGCCAUAGUAAGAGAUAAGUUCUAUGGCUUACGGCUUUUGGAGAAUAUAGCAUUACUUGGUUAGCAAUUUAUUGUUGUCCCUUUGGAAACAAAUCUAACCUGAGACCAUCCGUAGCCGGGCAGACUGGGUGCAAUAACCUCGAAGACGUAGUCGCUCUUGUCACUGGGCGUGGUCAGGAGAGGGAUGAAGUCGUAGAAUUCGCGAACGGUUCCCGGCCAUCCGUGCAUCAGAAGCAGAGGCAGCACCUUCUUGGGCUUUUGGCCUUUCACCUGGCUUGGCUUGGCAUGAAUAAAAUGAAUUUUUAAACUGCAAAAAAAUGGAAAAACAUUUGGGGUUAACUUUUCAUGUUAAUUUGCAAAAGCAGGCGACUAAUUAAGCGUGGAACACUUCGGUUUUCCAUAAGUUCUGUCGCACUCACCCCUGAAUUUCCGUUUGGUAGUGAUCCAGCUUCUUGAGGUACUCCUCCCGUUCGCUCCAUUUGGGCAGAUAUGUAUCGCGCCAGUAUUUCACCACCUUGGCCAGUUCGUUGGCAUUGAAUCCGUAUUGGAAACCCACACCCUCCAGUGGCGCCUGCGCUUUCAAAGGACGACUCAGCUGACCGAUUAGAUCCUCAAUAACCUUUGAUAAGAAGUGAUGAAGGAUAUUAAAAAAAUUAUAUAACUUAAAUUAAAUUAUUAAAUCAAAUAUAACUUUAAAUAGUAUGAAUUUGUACAAAUUACCAUAAAUUCUGUAUAAUUAAUGAUACUUGCAUACCAGCAUGAUUCGAAAUAUUUACAUAUACUAUACAUUCAUAGCUUUGAUUGCAUAUCAUACUGAUUUGAUAUUUUGCAUUUGUAUAUAUGCAUUUGUGUAUGUAUAUUUAUUUACCUCUGGCUUUACGCUGAUGUCGAAGGGUAGGAUGGCCUUGUUCUCCCGAUAAGGUUCCUUCAAUGUUGGACCCCAGUAGGCGUUGUUGUCCAGAUCGGGUCUCUUGCCGGGCGCCGAGAGAUCGCGAUAGUUCUUAUAGCCAACGGCCACCAGGAUGGUCAGAGCUCCGACCAAGAUUCGUGGCCAGAUGUUCGCCAUUGUGUGUUUAUGCUAUAUUCUUUAUAUAUUCU